AGAGUUUGAUCCUGGCUCAGAUUGAACGCUGGCGGCAGGCCUAACACAUGCAAGUCGAGCGGUAGCACAGAGAGCUUGCUCUCGGGUGACGAGCGGCGGACGGGUGAGUAAUGUCUGGGAAACUGCCUGAUGGAGGGGGAUAACUACUGGAAACGGUAGCUAAUACCGCAUAAUGUCGCAAGACCAAAGUGGGGGACCUUCGGGCCUCAUGCCAUCAGAUGUGCCCAGAUGGGAUUAGCUAGUAGGUGGGGUAACGGCUCACCUAGGCGACGAUCCCUAGCUGGUCUGAGAGGAUGACCAGCCACACUGGAACUGAGACACGGUCCAGACUCCUACGGGAGGCAGCAGUGGGGAAUAUUGCACAAUGGGCGCAAGCCUGAUGCAGCCAUGCCGCGUGUGUGAAGAAGGCCUUCGGGUUGUAAAGCACUUUCAGCGGGGAGGAAGGCGGUGAGGUUAAUAACCUCAUCGAUUGACGUUACCCGCAGAAGAAGCACCGGCUAACUCCGUGCCAGCAGCCGCGGUAAUACGGAGGGUGCAAGCGUUAAUCGGAAUUACUGGGCGUAAAGCGCACGCAGGCGGUCUGUCAAGUCGGAUGUGAAAUCCCCGGGCUCAACCUGGGAACUGCAUUCGAAACUGGCAGGCUAGAGUCUUGUAGAGGGGGGUAGAAUUCCAGGUGUAGCGGUGAAAUGCGUAGAGAUCUGGAGGAAUACCGGUGGCGAAGGCGGCCCCCUGGACAAAGACUGACGCUCAGGUGCGAAAGCGUGGGGAGCAAACAGGAUUAGAUACCCUGGUAGUCCACGCCGUAAACGAUGUCGAUUUGGAGGUUGUGCCCUUGAGGCGUGGCUUCCGGAGCUAACGCGUUAAAUCGACCGCCUGGGGAGUACGGCCGCAAGGUUAAAACUCAAAUGAAUUGACGGGGGCCCGCACAAGCGGUGGAGCAUGUGGUUUAAUUCGAUGCAACGCGAAGAACCUUACCUGGUCUUGACAUCCACAGAACUUUCCAGAGAUGGAUUGGUGCCUUCGGGAACUGUGAGACAGGUGCUGCAUGGCUGUCGUCAGCUCGUGUUGUGAAAUGUUGGGUUAAGUCCCGCAACGAGCGCAACCCUUAUCCUUUGUUGCCAGCGGUUAGGCCGGGAACUCAAAGGAGACUGCCAGUGAUAAACUGGAGGAAGGUGGGGAUGACGUCAAGUCAUCAUGGCCCUUACGACCAGGGCUACACACGUGCUACAAUGGCAUAUACAAAGAGAAGCGACCUCGCGAGAGCAAGCGGACCUCAUAAAGUAUGUCGUAGUCCGGAUUGGAGUCUGCAACUCGACUCCAUGAAGUCGGAAUCGCUAGUAAUCGUAGAUCAGAAUGCUACGGUGAAUACGUUCCCGGGCCUUGUACACACCGCCCGUCACACCAUGGGAGUGGGUUGCAAAAGAAGUAGGUAGCUUAACCUUCGGGAGGGCGCUUACCACUUUGUGAUUCAUGACUGGGGUGAAGUCGUAACAAGGUAACCG
RNAcentral lists this ribosomal RNA (1502 nucleotides) under uncultured bacterium. RNAcentral describes it as "16S ribosomal RNA". It matches the Rfam family "Bacterial small subunit ribosomal RNA". The record is from RNAcentral.